Molecule: ribosomal RNA, 303 nt
Filed under: Triticum aestivum (bread wheat)
Lineage: Eukaryota; Viridiplantae; Streptophyta; Magnoliopsida; Poales; Poaceae
Description: partial small subunit ribosomal RNA
Source: RNAcentral
AUGAGCGGCUACAUGUCGAGCAAGAAGGCGAUGGAGAUCAACUCCAAGAAUGCCAUCAUGGAGGAGCUGCGCAAGCACGCUGACGCAGACAAGAACGACAAGUUGCUCAAGGACGUGGUGAUGCUGCUGCUCACCUCGGGCUUCAGCCUCGACGACCCCAACACCUUCGGUACCAGGAUCCAUCGCAUGCUGAAGCUGGGCCUGAGCAUCGACGAGGAUGAGCCUGCUGAAGCUGACGCGGGAGUAAAUAGCAUAAAACUACUACUUUACAGGCUAGGGUUCCAAAAAACUACUGGUUUUUAA